AAAAAUCCCUAAAAUUCCUGGCAAAAUCUGAGGUUAAGAGAAGAUGAGAAACACUGUUCAGAGAAUCUGGAGGAGAGAGAUUCCUUUGUAUUAAAGCGAAAUAGACAGUUCCACGAUCACCUCACGUGCCUCACGCAGGUGCUGGCACUGGGGUCCCGGGAGAUGAGUCAGCAGAACAGGAAAUUCUCCCUGCACAAGCCCUUCGGAUCCCGUGGGCUGGGUGUGUGUAGCAUC
Hyaena hyaena (striped hyena) is the source of this 234-nucleotide long non-coding RNA. RefSeq lists it as uncharacterized. The record is from RefSeq and is a predicted model, not a curated record. The transcript has 3 exons. NCBI's taxonomy places the organism in Eukaryota, Metazoa, Chordata, Mammalia, Carnivora, Hyaenidae.